UACAGAGGGUGCAAGCGUUGUUCGGAAUUAUUGGGCGUAAAGCGCGUGUAGGCGGCUUUGCAAGUCGGGUGUGAAAGCCCUCAGCUCAACUGAGGAAGUGCGCCCGAAACUGCAGAGCUUGAGUACCGGAGAGGAUGGCGGAAUUCCCCAAGUAGAGGUGAAAUUCGUAGAUAUGGGGAGGAACACCGGUGGCGAAGGCGGCCAUCUGGACGGAUACUGACGCUGAGAAGCGAAAGCAUGGGGAGCGAACAGG
RNAcentral lists this ribosomal RNA (253 nucleotides) under uncultured bacterium. RNAcentral describes it as "partial 16S ribosomal RNA". It matches the Rfam family "Bacterial small subunit ribosomal RNA", at positions 524 to 776 of the family's 1533-position model. The record is from RNAcentral.